AGGGGUGUCGCCAAGCGGUAAGGCAGCAGGUUUUGAUCCUGCCAUGCGUUGGUUCGAAUCCAGCCACCCCUGCCA
Molecule: transfer RNA, 75 nt
Filed under: Oceanospirillaceae bacterium
Lineage: Bacteria; Pseudomonadati; Pseudomonadota; Gammaproteobacteria; Oceanospirillales; Oceanospirillaceae
Description: tRNA-Gln
Rfam family: tRNA
About the family: Transfer RNA (tRNA) molecules are approximately 80 nucleotides in length. Their secondary structure includes four short double-helical elements and three loops (D, anti-codon, and T loops). Further hydrogen bonds mediate the characteristic L-shaped molecular structure. tRNAs have two regions of fundamental functional importance: the anti-codon, which is responsible for specific mRNA codon recognition, and the 3' end, to which the tRNAs corresponding amino acid is attached (by aminoacyl-tRNA synthetases). tRNAs cope with the degeneracy of the genetic code in two manners: having more than one tRNA (with a specific anti-codon) for a particular amino acid; and 'wobble' base-pairing, i.e. permitting non-standard base-pairing at the 3rd anti-codon position.
Source: RNAcentral